Carassius carassius (crucian carp) is the source of this 726-nucleotide long non-coding RNA. RefSeq lists it as uncharacterized. The transcript has 2 exons. The record is from RefSeq and is a predicted model, not a curated record. NCBI's taxonomy places the organism in Eukaryota, Metazoa, Chordata, Actinopteri, Cypriniformes, Cyprinidae.
CACCAACAUGCUGCUUAUCAAAUGAGAGAUUUUUGCUAUGGUGAUUCAAUAUUAUAACUAGUAUAUGGCAAAUGUCUGCUUUACUAAAUAAUCAGCAGACACUGUAGUGCUUUCUGCUGCAGAAGACAUGGAUCACUGUUUUUUCUGGUUAUGACAACAGCACAGCUUUCAUCGCUACACUAAGACAAAAUGGCCUCACAUGUUUGGACAAGCCCUGCCCCAAUCUGAGCAUUUACCCUCCGGACACAUUCACUGACACAAAUACCAAGAAGGGGUCAACAGGCACAAUUACUUGCAUCUACUGCUGUCUCGUCUAACUCUUUGAUGUGGUUAACCAUCAUAAUAGGAUCUGGUCCACUUUCCAUCUAAUUAGUUCACAUUAUAUCAACACAACUUUCUUACCAGGCUGUUAAUAACUAGUGUAACCUUACUCACAGAAACUGCAGCUGUGAGACAGUCCGAUUUGAACCGGUUUUGUCCAGUUAUUGCUUGAGGAUGAGACUGUGCCCUCUUAAAGGGAUAGUUCACCCAAAAAUGUAAAUUAUGUCAUCAUCCACUCAGUUAUGCCGUUUCAAACACAUAAGUUUUUGGUUAAUCUUUGAAAUGAAAACUAAGAUAUUUUAUUAAAACCUACAAGGUUUUUGUCCCUUCACUGAACAUUUAGAUAAUCCAAAAAGUUAAUAAAGGCAUCAUAAAAUGAAUAAAUAUUAAUUAUACAAAUCUAUA